RNAcentral lists this ribosomal RNA (442 nucleotides) under uncultured bacterium. RNAcentral's name for it is "partial 16S ribosomal RNA". It matches the Rfam family "Bacterial small subunit ribosomal RNA", at positions 338 to 795 of the family's 1533-position model. The record is from RNAcentral.
CCUACGGGAGGCUGCAGUGGGGAAUAUUGGGCAAUGGGCGCAAGCCUGACCCAGCAACGCCGCGUGAAGGAAGAAGGCUUUCGGGUUGUAAACUUCUUUUCUCAGGGACGAAGCAAGUGACGGUACCUGAGGAAUAGCCACGGCUAACUACGUGCCAGCAGUCGCGGUAAUACGUAGGUGGCAAGCGUUAUCCGGAUUUACUGGGUUUAAAGGGCGGGUAGGCGGGACUGCAAGUCAGAUGGGAAAACCACGGGCUCAACCUGUGGCCUGCUUUUGAAACUGUAGUUCUUGAGUACUGGAGAGGCAGGCGGAAUUCCUGGUGUAGCGGUGAAAUGCGUAGAUAUUAGGAGGCACACCAGUGGCGAAGGCGUUCUGCUGGACAGCAACUGACGCUGAGGCGCGAAAGCGUGGGGAGCAAACAGGAUUAGAUACCCCUGUAGUC